Long non-coding RNA from Papaver somniferum (opium poppy), 1639 nucleotides. RefSeq lists it as uncharacterized. The record is from RefSeq and is a predicted model, not a curated record. NCBI's taxonomy places the organism in Eukaryota, Viridiplantae, Streptophyta, Magnoliopsida, Ranunculales, Papaveraceae. The transcript is spliced from 2 exons.
UCCAUCUCCAUCGAUGACCGAUUAUUCUUUUCCUUUUCUAAAAAUUUUCAAACAAAAACAUUGUGUCCAUUACCGAUGACUGCAAAACUAAUUAAUCAUUCAUUUUGUCUACAAUGUCGAAAUCGCCAAGAUUUAUGCACGCCAGUGGAGUUACUUAUCCUAGUGAGAGUAAUCCAGGAAUUUCUCAAGCGAUUUGAAAUAAAGAAUCGAAGAACAAAAACGGUUGUCAAAGACGACCAAACUCUGAGUCAAUACAAGCAAAAGGAAUAGCUCGAAUCAGGACAACAAGGAAAAGAAAAAGCAAGUUGAAAGAGAGCGAAGAAGAACGUGAUCUUGCUUAUCCUCCGAGUUUGGUCCUCGUUGAAAGGGAGGUCAAAAUUUGGAUGUUAAACACCAUAGGGGAUCUACCACUAAAGUUAAAUCGCUCACCCUAGGUGAAGCAACUCCAGUGGAGCUUCCAACACGAAAUAUUUUUUGAAUCUCUUACAACAUGUGAUAAAGAAAGUAAUGAAGGACAACGUGGUGGCAAAGAAGUUGGUAAAGAAGAAAGUAACGACAAAAAAAGCAUAUGAAGAAAAAAAAUGAUGAAGAAGAAUGUGAUAAGGAAAAAGGGAGAGGAAAAGAAGUUCAACAACAAGGAACCAAAGCAAACGCUCCAAAGCUACCACCGAAGAAUAAACGGGAAUACAUGCCCAAGUCGGAGAUGAUGUUCCCUCGCGGUCCUAAUAAUCAUUUUUAUGGGUUACCUAAUAUAAGGGAGAACUUUUAUAAGGGGUACAAAUAGAACUGGGUUGUUGUCCUCUGUGGAACCGUAGUAAUCAUCUCAACCUUAUGCUAUGUCUCGACGCUAUCAUCUAUUAUUCGUCUAGUUUUUUGAUGAUUAUUUAUCUCGCGGUAUGCUUUUUAGGACAACAGAGAUGUCGUAUGUCUCCUUAUGCUAAGGACUUCACAUGAUAAGAAUCCCGAAGAGUCUUCAACCUAGUAUACGUUACAGGGUUGUUGGUUGCGGUCAAAAUUCGACUGUUGAAUAUGACAAACCUCUUUUUUCUGUCUUCUCCGAUAGAUAUUACGGGGAAACGGGUACUUUCCUUUUUCCAUUAGGAGAAAUUACAAUAACUCUAAUUCAUGUGAAGUUGAUUACUGUCUUCAACAUAGGAGGUAAGGUCAUAAGGAGAGCCAAACAACAUGAAUGAGCUUGAAUGCAUGAAGAUUUACGUUUUCACUAAGAGGGUCUUCGGUUGGGAUGAAGAGAAUACUAAGUUGGAGAUACUAGUAGGUGCAAUGAAGAAGAGUAUUCAAUCUCGCGAGCUUGAGGGAAUAAUUCUCACGGAUGUGGGAGUUUCUUAAAAAAUGGAUAGUUGACUGAGGAACGUAUCAAUGCUACAACUUAUGCAUAUGUCCUCUACAUCUUGGGAGUUGUUAUCUUUGUCGAUGUUUGCGGUUGUCGGAACACCGAUAAUAUACAGCUAUUUAAACCACAACAAAAGGUUCACGACUUCUCUUGGGACUCCGGGUGCCUCGUACACUUGUUGAACUAGUUUAGAAAGUUAUCUAAGACUGACAGGAACUAAAUCGGAGGGAAUAUGACUCUUCUGCGUGUAAUCUAAGUGGUAAAGUUAUUGUAUUAUUUUUUAUGUUA